RNAcentral lists this ribosomal RNA (788 nucleotides) under uncultured Lactobacillus sp. Its description in RNAcentral is "bacterial SSU rRNA". It matches the Rfam family "Bacterial small subunit ribosomal RNA", at positions 28 to 776 of the family's 1533-position model. Lineage: Bacteria; Bacillati; Bacillota; Bacilli; Lactobacillales; Lactobacillaceae. The record is from RNAcentral.
GACGAACGCUGGCGGCGUGCCUAAUACAUGCAAGUCGAGCGAGCUUGCCUAGAUGAAUUUGGUGCUUGCACCAAAUGAAACUAGAUACAAGCGAGCGGCGGACGGGUGAGUAACACGUGGGUAACCUGCCCAAGAGACUGGGAUAACACCUGGAAACAGAUGCUAAUACCGGAUAACAACACUAGACGCAUGUCUAGAGUUUAAAAGAUGGUUCUGCUAUCACUCUUGGAUGGACCUGCGGUGCAUUAGCUAGUUGGUAAGGUAACGGCUUACCAAGGCAAUGAUGCAUAGCCGAGUUGAGAGACUGAUCGGCCACAUUGGGACCGAGACACGGCCCAAACUCCUACGGGAGGCAGCAGUAGGGAAUCUUCCACAAUGGACGCGAGUCUGAUGGAGCAACGCCGCGUGAGUGAAGAAGGGUUUCGGCUCGUAAAGCUCUGUUGGUAGUGAAGAAAGAUAGAGGUAGUAACUGGCCUUUAUUUGACGGUAAUUACUUAGAAAGUCACGGCUAACUACGUGCCAGCAGCCGCGGUAAUACGUAGGUGGCAAGCGUUGUCCGGAUUUAUUGGGCGUAAAGCGAGUGCAGGCGGUUCAAUAAGUCUGAUGUGAAAGCCUUCGGCUCAACCGGAGAAUUGCAUCAGAAACUGUUGAACUUGAGUGCAGAAGAGGAGAGUGGAACUCCAUGUGUAGCGGUGGAAUGCGUAGAUAUAUGGAAGAACACCAGUGGCGAAGGCGGCUCUCUGGUCUGCAACUGACGCUGAGGCUCGAAAGCAUGGGUAGCGAACAGG